AGUGUGUUGGCAGAAUAGUGCAAUUGAUUUAGGAUCAAUUUAUGGAAUAAAUACCACACACUA
RNAcentral lists this transfer RNA (63 nucleotides) under Amynthas phaselus. RNAcentral's name for it is "tRNA-Leu1". The record is from RNAcentral. Lineage: Eukaryota; Metazoa; Annelida; Clitellata; Crassiclitellata; Megascolecidae. RNAcentral also lists the same sequence under 1 other name.